UUGAAAGGGAAACGAUUGAAGUCAGUCGUACCGACGAGAAAUCAGCUUAUCGUGUGUUAACCUGUGGGCGUGCGUGAGUUUCGGCCUCGCUGUUUGCAUGUUUGUGCGCUUUGGGUGUACUUUUUCGUAUGGUUGGCCAACAUCAGUUUCGAUUACUAUAAAAUGACUGGCGGAAUGUAGCUUCGAUUUCGGUUGAAGUGUUAUAGCCUCUGGUAGAUGUGGUGAUUGAGACUGAGGAUUGCAACGAAUAUCCUUUGGGCUAUCCGUCUGGCCUCUGAAAGUUGCUUGGGUGCUGAAAGCUUGCUUAUGGUUAUCUAAGUUAACGGUCAAUAGGUUAGAACGCGAUUACAUUCGUUAAGGAUGUUGACGUA
Molecule: ribosomal RNA, 371 nt
Filed under: uncultured Glomeromycotina
Lineage: Eukaryota; Fungi; Glomeromycota
Description: eukaryotic LSU rRNA
Source: RNAcentral